GAGCCAACAGAUAAAGUUUGUUUUAUUUACGAUUACAGUAAAUUACAGCGAUCUUGGGCCAAACUAGCAAUUUGGAGAUUAAUAAUUAUUUUUUAUAAGUUGAUCUAAGCACGAAUUGCUGCAGGUAAAAUUAGACUUAAUGUUCGCGAUCGAGACCCAAUUGUACAAAUUGUAGAGUAAGAACACAAUAGGCAGCACGGCUUGACAACUUGAGCGCGAUCCGAUGGAGCGGCCGGCAGUAGCUCCCCAACACAGGUGGGGAAGAUGUCAGACAUGCACAGAUUCCCAAAAUGACGUCCUAGUCACUUUGGCCGAUUCAAUGUGUCCUUACCCUAUCAGAGGUCUGAGAAACGUGGACACUGCUGUGCGUUGUGAAGGAAACCGAACUUAGCGAUGCUCCGCAGAGUUUGCAUAUCGUUAGUCUGCGGGUGUCAGAUGGAUGUGAUUUCCUGAAUUUCAAGUGCUGCGCGAUGCACCUACCAGAAAACCACCACUGCAACAGUUAAUACCAGAAUAACAGUCAGCACUCCCCAAUGACUCGUCGAGUAACUUUGCCGAUUAUCGUCUACCAAGAAGGGACACACAAUUAUCAAUUGACGAUACUAGAGUAGCUUCUGCUAACCCUCGACACAAUCCACCACCAUCUCACACCCCUGGGCUCUUAUUCCAACCUUCACCACCACCCGCCGAUUCACAGAAGCUUGCAGGCUUUAGCAGCAUCCACCCAGCAAAGUGGUCACUUGCAUGACGAUCAAAUGGUCAGACAACGACAGGCUAAUCUUAAUUCUCAAUAGCGACUAGAGUUCAUGCACCUUCCCUACGCGCACAGCAUUAAAUCCAGACACACCACCAUCUGUCGCAUCUAACCUCUAGCCUCCCCCCACCCCUCUAUCGCAAUAGCUAGGUAUCCAACCUACACACCACCCAGGCACAUGACCAUCCCACUCCCACGACAUAGGUCCUCCUUCUCAC
This 972-nucleotide long non-coding RNA is filed under the name Physcomitrium patens. RNAcentral describes it as "long non-coding RNA (PPAT_LNC001224)". The record is from RNAcentral. Lineage: Eukaryota; Viridiplantae; Streptophyta; Bryopsida; Funariales; Funariaceae.